GAUUAUGUAUUUUGUCUUUUUUUCCUUUCAGUGUCUCUAAAUUUUAUUCAAAGUAGUAUCAAGAUUGUACUUAUGUAAUACAUGUAGAAGAAAGGGAAGUUGUAGGUGUUGUAACUUAAUGAUGUAAUUAGUUAGUUAGUUACAACAGAUUUAGUAGCUAAAUUAUUUUAGAUAUUUUCUUGAAUGGUUACAACUGUUUGUCUAUAAAUAGAGUCGGUAGUUAUUCUUUUUUUACUUGUACAGUUUCAUUGAGCUUCCAUAGCAAAAGGGCUUUCCUUUAUCUCUUCCUUCUUCCUUCAAUUUUGCAUUUAAUCUGCGAUACCUGAGCUUCUUAACAUGGUAUCGGAGCCAGGUUGAUGCAUCUCUCAACUUAGUUUACAGAAUCUUCUAAGGAAAGUGUCAUAGAAGGAUCUUCAAGCUCAACAAGUUCGAAUCAGAAAUUCGAGAGCUUUUUGUAUAAUUUGUGUCAAUUCGAUGCUUAGGAAGUGAAAAUUCAGAGCUCAAAGUGUCAAUUUAGUAGUUGCAUAUGAGAUUUGUUGCUCGAUUUGGAGAAGGUUUCAAUGGCUCCAGCUGAAAACUUCGAGAAUGGCCACUCUUCAACUCAACUUGAAGAAGUUCAUCAUAAUUAUACAGUCUGUAUUCAUCCCUUAGAUACACAAGCUAGUAAAGAUCCUUUAUGGAUAAAAGCCAUGAAAGCUGAAUUUUCAGCUCUUAAAGAAAAUGGUACCUGGUCCCUGUUUGACCUGUCUCCUGGAAGGUUCCUAUGGGCUGCAAGUGGGUAUUUAAGGUUAAGUAUCAUACAUCUGAUGCUAUAGAAAGGUAUAAGGUAAAUUUGGUUGCCAAAGGUUAUUAUCAACAAGAAGGACAUGAAUUUAUUGAAACUCUCUCUCCAACUGGAAAAAUGGUAAAUGUGAGGUAUGUUGUUCCUCAUGAUGCUUAUUUUGGCUGGUAUAUCUUGCAAACGGAUGUUCGUAAUUCCUUUUUACAAGGUGACCUUACAGAAGAUGUCUACAUGGUUGUUCCUGAAGGCUUUUCAAGCUAGGGAAGUAUAAGGUGUGCAAGCUACAUAAAUAGUUAAUAUGUCUUGAAAUUGGAAACUAGACAAUGGAAUUUGAAACUUACAGAAUGUAAUACCCGUGCCUUUUUAUUUGUUUGAAAUCAUCUCAAGGAUGUUAGAAAUUGCUAUAAAAUAUAAAACUAUUUUUGUA
Molecule: long non-coding RNA, 1208 nt
Organism: Capsicum annuum
Lineage: Eukaryota; Viridiplantae; Streptophyta; Magnoliopsida; Solanales; Solanaceae
Exons: 2
Source: RefSeq, a predicted model, not a curated record